GGAGGGAUCAUGGCUCAGUGGUAGAGCAUCUGCUUGAUAGGCAGAAGGUCCCAGGUUCAAUCCCUGGCCUCUCCA
Gekko japonicus is the source of this 75-nucleotide non-coding RNA. NCBI's taxonomy places the organism in Eukaryota, Metazoa, Chordata, Lepidosauria, Squamata, Gekkonidae. The record is from the annotation of a RefSeq genome assembly.